CUUGGAAAUGGUAAGUGGUAGAAGCACAAGGAAGAGGAUCAAUUGCAAUCCACUCCAAGUAAGGUACUAAGUAUAUUCAUAAUGUACUUUAUAUAUCUAGUCUGACGCAAAACUUGUUAAGUGUUGCACAAAUGAUUUCAAAUAGCUAUUCUUUAACAUUUAAAUAUCAAAGCUGCAACAUAUAUGACUCAAACUAACAUAUUG
This 204-nucleotide long non-coding RNA is filed under the name Carica papaya (papaya). RNAcentral describes it as "long non-coding RNA (CPAP_LNC012462)". Lineage: Eukaryota; Viridiplantae; Streptophyta; Magnoliopsida; Brassicales; Caricaceae. The record is from RNAcentral.